Molecule: ribosomal RNA, 253 nt
Filed under: uncultured bacterium
Lineage: Bacteria
Description: partial 16S ribosomal RNA
Rfam family: Bacterial small subunit ribosomal RNA
Source: RNAcentral
UACGGGGGGGGCAAGCGUUGUUCGGAAUUACUGGGCGUAAAGGGCUCGUAGGCGGCCAACUAAGUCAGACGUGAAAUCCCUCGGCUUAACCGGGGAACUGCGUCUGAUACUGGAUGGCUUGAAUCCGGGAGAGGGAUGCGGAAUUCCAGGUGUAGCGGUGAAAUGCGUAGAUAUCAGGAGGAACACCGAUGGCGAAGGCAGGUCUCUGGGCUGUAACUGACGCUGAGGAGCGAAAGCAUGGGGAGCGAACAGG